This 72-nucleotide transfer RNA is filed under the name Camelus bactrianus (Bactrian camel). It matches the Rfam family "tRNA". From Rfam's summary of the family: Transfer RNA (tRNA) molecules are approximately 80 nucleotides in length. Their secondary structure includes four short double-helical elements and three loops (D, anti-codon, and T loops). RNAcentral also lists the same sequence under 2 other names. Lineage: Eukaryota; Metazoa; Chordata; Mammalia; Artiodactyla; Camelidae. The record is from Rfam by way of RNAcentral.
GGGUAUAUAGCUCAUUGGGAGAGCACAUGCUUGGUAUGCACAAGGUCCUGGGUUCAAUGGCCAGUACCUCCA